RNAcentral lists this ribosomal RNA (1052 nucleotides) under Chaetothyriales sp. RNAcentral's name for it is "partial 28S large subunit ribosomal RNA". It matches the Rfam family "Eukaryotic large subunit ribosomal RNA", at positions 488 to 1141 of the family's 3401-position model. The record is from RNAcentral. Lineage: Eukaryota; Fungi; Ascomycota; Eurotiomycetes; Chaetothyriales.
GGUCCAGGCCAACAUCGGUUCGGGUGGCUGGUCAAAGGCCCCGGGAAUGUACCUCACCUUCGGGUUAGGCUUAUAGCCCGGGGUGUCAUGCGGCCUACCUGGACCGAGGAACGCGCUUCGGCUCGGAUGUUGGCGUAAUGGUUGUCAGCGACCCUACUUGAAACACGGACCAAGGAGUCGAAGAGCUAUGCGAGUGUUUGGGUGUCAAACCCGUACGCGUAAUGAAAGUGAACGGAGGUAGGAAGCUUCGGCUGCACUAUCGACCGAUCCUGAUGUUCUCGGAUGGAUUUGAGUAAGAGCAUAACUCUCCGGACCCGAAAGAUGGUGAACUAUGCCUGAAUAGGGUGAAGCCAGAGGAAACUCUGGUGGAGGCUCGCAGCGGUUCUGACGUGCAAAUCGAUCGUCAAAUUUGGGUAUAGGGGCGAAAGACUAAUCGAACCAUUGAAGAAAUAGCUACUCAGGUGGUUAAUUGCGGCCUGAAAGGGCGUGGGCAAGUCCCCGGUCAAGGGGCAACAUCGUCAAAGUGCGGGGACCUCCUAAAGCCUCUACCACCAAACGGCGCCCCGAAAGGGAGCCCGUGGCCACGUUAACAGCGUCGGGUAUGGUAACAGCGUAGAGUGAUGCAACAAUGGAUGAUCCGCAGCCAAGUCCUAAGGGCUCCCAAAGCCUACGGAUGCCGUUCAUCGACUGGAUGGCGGUGGGCUCCGGGCACUUCGGUGCCUGGAGUCUAAGAUACAGUCAGUCCCCCGGGGAGACCCGGGCGUACAUCGCUAAACCCGCGGCGGUAGUGACCCCCUCUACGAGGGUCGCCGCGGGCCCGAACGGUGCGGGUGUCUACGGGCACCGGAGCAAACGCUGGUAGCUGGUUCCUGCCGAAGUUUCCCUCAGGAUAGCAGUAACGUUUUCAGUUUUAUGAGGUAAAGCGAAUGAUUAGAGGCCUUGGGGUUGAAACAACCUUAACCUAUUCUCAAACUUUAAAUAUGUAAGAAGUCCUUGUUACUUAGUUGAACGUGGACAUUUGAAUGUAUCGUUACUAGUGGGCCAUUUUUGGU